UAUUUUAAAGAGAGUUUGAUCCUGGCUCAGGACGAACGCUGGCGGCGUGCCUAAUACAUGCAAGUCGAACGAACGGAGGAAGAGCUUGCUCUUCCAAAGUUAGUGGCGGACGGGUGAGUAACACGUGGGCAACCUGCCUGUAAGUUGGGGAUAACUCCGGGAAACCGGGGCUAAUACCGAAUGAUAAAGUGUGGCGCAUGCCACGCUUUUGAAAGAUGGUUUCGGCUAUCGCUUACAGAUGGGCCCGCGGUGCAUUAGCUAGUUGGUAGGGUAAUGGCCUACCAAGGCAACGAUGCAUAG
RNAcentral lists this ribosomal RNA (300 nucleotides) under Listeria monocytogenes. RNAcentral describes it as "partial 16S ribosomal RNA". It matches the Rfam family "Bacterial small subunit ribosomal RNA", at positions 1 to 286 of the family's 1533-position model. Lineage: Bacteria; Bacillati; Bacillota; Bacilli; Caryophanales; Listeriaceae. The record is from RNAcentral.